RNAcentral lists this ribosomal RNA (432 nucleotides) under uncultured bacterium. RNAcentral describes it as "bacterial SSU rRNA". It matches the Rfam family "Bacterial small subunit ribosomal RNA", at positions 954 to 1377 of the family's 1533-position model. The record is from RNAcentral.
GCUAAACGCGAAGAACCUUACCAGGUCUUGACAUCCCUCUGAAUCCUCUAGAGAUAGAGGCGGCCUUCGGGACAGAGGAGACAGGUGGUGCAUGGUUGUCGUCAGCUCGUGUCGUGAGAUGUUGGGUUAAGUCCCGCAACGAGCGCAACCCUUGAUUUUAGUUGCCAGCACUUUAAGGUGGGCACUCUAGAAUGACUGCCGGUGACAAACCGGAGGAAGGCGGGGAUGACGUCAAAUCAUCAUGCCCCUUAUGACCUGGGCUACACACGUACUACAAUGGCCAGUACAACGGGAAGCGAAGUCGCGAGAUGGAGCCAAUCCUAUCAAAACUCAUCUCAGUUCGGAUUGCAGGCUGCAACUCGCCUGCAUGAAGCUGGAGUUGCUAGUAAUCGCGGAUCAGAUGUCGCGGUGAGUACGUUCCCGGUCUGUUAC